AUGAAGAACGUAGCGAAAUGCGAUAAGUAAUGUGAAUUGCAGAAUUCAGUGAAUCAUCGAAUCUUUGAACGCACAUUGCGCCCCUUGGUAUUCCAUGGGGCAUGCCUGUUCGAGCGUCAUUUGUACCUUCAAGCUCUGCUUGGUGUUGGGUGUUUGUCUCGCCUCUGCGUGUAGACUCGCCUCAAAACAAUUGGCAGCCGGCGUAUUGAUUUCGGAGCGCAGUACAUCUCGCGCUUUGCACUCAUAACGACGACGUCCAAAAGUACAUUUUUACACUCUUGACCUCGGAUCAGGUAGGGAUACCCGCUGAACUUAAGCAUAUCAAUAAGCGGAGGA
RNAcentral lists this unclassified non-coding RNA (336 nucleotides) under soil metagenome. RNAcentral describes it as "partial contains 5.8S ribosomal RNA, internal transcribed spacer 2, and large subunit ribosomal RNA". The stretch from base 1 to 119 matches the Rfam family "5.8S ribosomal RNA", at positions 36 to 154 of the family's 154-position model. The record is from RNAcentral.